This 95-nucleotide signal recognition particle RNA is filed under the name Verrucomicrobiales bacterium. RNAcentral describes it as "signal recognition particle sRNA small type". It matches the Rfam family "Bacterial small signal recognition particle RNA". Rfam says of the family: The signal recognition particle (SRP) is a universally conserved ribonucleoprotein involved in the co-translational targeting of proteins to membranes. The record is from RNAcentral. Lineage: Bacteria; Pseudomonadati; Verrucomicrobiota; Verrucomicrobiia; Verrucomicrobiales.
CGUCAGGGGCCGUGGAUGGAGAGCUUGUGAACCCCGCCAGGUCCUGACGGAAGCAACGGCAGCAUGCCUUUGCAUGCCGCGGUUCCCUGGCACUU